Molecule: ribosomal RNA, 468 nt
Filed under: uncultured bacterium
Lineage: Bacteria
Description: partial 16S ribosomal RNA
Rfam family: Bacterial small subunit ribosomal RNA
Source: RNAcentral
GACGAACGCUGGCGGCGUGCUUAACACAUGCAAGUCGAACGGAAUUGCUCUGCUUUUGUUGGGUGCUCGAGUUGCGAACGGGUGAGUAACACGUGAGUUACCUUCCCUUGACUUUUGGAUAACUUCAGGAAACUUUGGCUCAUACUGGUUAGUUGCUCCUGCUGCUUUGUUGUGGUUGGAUCGUUUCGGCGGUUGGGGAUGCACUCGCGGCUUAUGAGCUUGUUGGUUGGGUAGUGGCUUACCCAGGCUUUUACGGGUAGCCUGCCUGAGUGGGUGACCGGAGACAUGGAGAAGGAGAUAAGGCCAAGACGCAUACGGGAGGAAGCAGUGAGGAAUAUAACACAAUGGGAGGAAGCCUGAUGCAGCAACGACGGGUGCGGGAGGACGGACUUCGGGUUGUAAACCGAUAUAGCCUGUGACGAAGCGUGAGUGACGGUAAUGAGUAAAGAAGCACCGGCUAACUACGUG